AACGAACGCUGGCGGCAGGCCUAACACAUGCAAGUCGAACGAGAUCUUCGGAUCUAGUGGCGGACGGGUGAGUAACGCGUGGGAACGUGCCCUUCUCUACGGAAUAGUCCUGGGAAACUGGGUUUAAUACCGUAUACGCCCUUCGGGGAAAGAAUUUCGGGGAAGGAUCGGACCCGCGUUGGACUUAGGUAGUUGGUGGGGUAAUGGCCGUACCAAGCCGACGAUCCAUAGCUGGUUUGAGAGGUAUGAUCAGCCACACUGGACUGAGACACGGCCCAGACUCCUACGGGAGCAGCAGUGGGAAUCGUUAGACAAUGGGGGCAACCCGUGAUCUAGCCAUGCCGCGUGAGUGACGAAGGCCCUAGGGUCGUAAAGCUCUUUCGCCAGGGAUGAUAAUGACAGUACCUGGUAAAGAACCCCGGUAA
This 425-nucleotide ribosomal RNA is filed under the name uncultured bacterium. RNAcentral describes it as "bacterial SSU rRNA". It matches the Rfam family "Bacterial small subunit ribosomal RNA", at positions 29 to 499 of the family's 1533-position model. The record is from RNAcentral.